AGUGAACGCUGGCGGUAGGCCUAACACAUGCAAGUCGAACGGCAGCACAGUAAGAGCUUGCUCUUACGGGUGGCGAGUGGCGGACGGGUGAGGAAUACAUCGGAAUCUACUUUUUCGUGGGGGAUAACGCAGGGAAACUUACGCUAAUACCGCAUACGACCUACGGGUGAAAGCAGGGGAUCUUCGGACCUUGCGCGAUUGAAUGAGCCGAUGUCAGAUUAGCUAGUUGGCGGGGUAAAGGCCCACCAAGGCGACGAUCCGUAGCUGGUCUGAGAGGAUGAUCAGCCACACUGGAACUGAGACACGGUCCAGACUCCUACGGGAGGCAGCAGUGGGGAAUAUUGGACAAUGGGCGCAAGCCUGAUCCAGCCAUACCGCGUGGGUGAAGAAGGCCUUCGGGUUGUAAAGCCCUUUUGUUGGGAAAGAAAAGCAGCAGGUUAAUACCCCGCUGUUCUGACGGUACCCAAAGAAUAAGCACCGGCUAACUUCGUG
RNAcentral lists this ribosomal RNA (492 nucleotides) under uncultured bacterium. RNAcentral's name for it is "partial 16S ribosomal RNA". It matches the Rfam family "Bacterial small subunit ribosomal RNA", at positions 29 to 507 of the family's 1533-position model. The record is from RNAcentral.